Molecule: long non-coding RNA, 1316 nt
Organism: Acanthopagrus latus (yellowfin seabream)
Lineage: Eukaryota; Metazoa; Chordata; Actinopteri; Spariformes; Sparidae
Exons: 3
Source: RefSeq, a predicted model, not a curated record
GGAGGAGCGAGACGCUCGGCUUUCAUCACUGAUUCUGGAGCUCUGACAGCAGGAGAAAGAGCAAAGUCAUGAGUGAAAGGUUGCAGAUCAUCUAGAAAUUAGCAAGCAUUCAUUCACACAGCUACUGACCCUGCUGGAUAUCACACUGUAAUCAUCAUCGUAGCCGUUCCUCUGUGAGUAAAGAACGUGAAGGUGACAGAGAAGAGGAGGAGCCCUUAGAGAGGAAGAGUGGGAGAACAGUGAAGGGGACAGAAAGAUGACGCUAACAAAACAGAACUGGUCUGCGCUGGUCUUAGAAGAUUUAAGGAUUGCUGAAUGCCUCCUUACGCCUCCAGAAUGCAAAUAUUCCUCCCAAGACAUGAUGUGCGUCAAUCUAGUAAAUUGUAUGAAAGGGCAGAGUGAAUUAAUUCAGUAAUUGAAUUUUCUUAAUAAAGUUGGAGAUAAACUUCUUCCUCUUCUGUUAUGUUUCCAGCAGUUUAGAUGCUUCACAGCGGGUAGAACGCCACUUUAGGGCAUGUGAAUACACAUCUUAUUUAUUUAGCGUUCAUGUCAAAGUUGGAACCUCUAAUUAUAAUGAUUUCAGUCAGAUACGAGAAACACAGCCCAUGUAACCACAGAUACUGUUACUAAUAAUAGGAAAACCAAACCAACACACAACACAUGCACCAUGGUCUCUUUAUACAUGGGUGAAAUGCAUACCAAAGACCACAAUCUUUUAACAUGCAAUUAAAUUGCCAAAACUAACCGAUUUAUCUAAAAAAUGAAUAAAUAAAAAAACAGAGUGAGCCAGAUUUCCAGGAUCUCGUGUGCCCACGAGAACGAUUAGUAUGAAGAGUUUUUCCACAUUACACAGCACAGAAGAAAUAGCACUCGACAUUUUGAGACAUAACACAGCCUAAAAUAGUGUCGAGUGUGUUUUGGUUGGAGCCUGAUAGCUCCAUAACACACCCUAUUCUUUCAGUCAAAAUCAGAUCUGAGUCCAGGGUAGUCAAUGUUCCUUCACAACAGCAAAAACAAGCACACGACCGAAUACAAUCACACAUAAAAUGUUCCUCUGCAAUCACAAACUCUACAAUCAUUGACUCACUUUCAUCCUGUGCACAGUAAAAAUAAUAUAAACUCAAACUUAAUCCAUUUAAAUCACAGCACACAAACAUGCUUUGUAUUAUAAAUAAAGAUGUUCUUAUUUCUUCUGCGUAAACCCCACAAGGAUGAAACAGAGAAACUCCAUGCUUUGAAUUCUUUAAACUACCUGUUAGUCAAACAACGGCUCAUACACACUACAAAUCUUCAGGUAGCAGGGUUAAAAAUUCAUA